RNAcentral lists this ribosomal RNA (397 nucleotides) under Ctena bella. RNAcentral's name for it is "partial 28S ribosomal RNA". The record is from RNAcentral. Lineage: Eukaryota; Metazoa; Mollusca; Bivalvia; Lucinida; Lucinidae.
UUCAAGAGUACGUGAAACCGUAUAGAGUCAAACGGGUGGAUCCGCAGUGUCAACCCGGGGAAUUCAGCCCGAAGCGCCUCGGCGACUGUGGAGCGUGAGGAUCCUUCUUGGACCGCACACCACGCCUGCCUGGCAGUUAGGGUGCACUUUCUCCGGGCCGAGUGCCACGACCGGUUCUGCGCGCAGUUAGAUGCUCGUUGGGAAGGUGCCCGACCCCUCGGGGACGGAGUUAUAGCCCUUCGACGCGGACCUGCUGCGGGACCGAGGACGCUCGCCGUGCCAAUGGGCCCCUGGACCAACUCUCUUGCUCGACUGUGGCGGACUGCUUGCAGUACGUCGCGACCGCUGGCGAGUGACAGUCUAGUUCUGCUCUUGGUGCCGAGGGUCUGUGGCGAAU